CCCUUAGAUGUUCUGGGCUGCACGCGCGCUACACUGAAGCGUUCAACGAAUAUUCACCUUGCCCGGGAGGGUUGGGUAAUCUUUUGAAAACGCUUCGUGAUGGGGAUAGAUUAUUGCAAUUAUUAAUCUUCAACGAGGAAUUCCUAGUAAGCGCGAGUCAUCAGCUCGUACUGAUUACGUCCCUGCCCUUUGUACACACCGACCGUCGCUCCUACCGAUUGAGUGAUCCGGUGAAUAAUUCGGACUGCAGCACUGCUUGGUCUCCAGGCUUUGCAGCGGAAAGUUUAGUGAACCUUAUCACUUAGAGGAAGGAGAAGUCGUAACA
Molecule: ribosomal RNA, 325 nt
Filed under: uncultured eukaryote
Lineage: Eukaryota
Description: partial 18S ribosomal RNA
Rfam family: Eukaryotic small subunit ribosomal RNA
Source: RNAcentral